Molecule: ribosomal RNA, 382 nt
Filed under: Klebsiella quasipneumoniae subsp. similipneumoniae
Lineage: Bacteria; Pseudomonadati; Pseudomonadota; Gammaproteobacteria; Enterobacterales; Enterobacteriaceae
Description: bacterial SSU rRNA
Rfam family: Bacterial small subunit ribosomal RNA
Source: RNAcentral
GGCUCACCUAGGCGACGAUCCCUAGCUGGUCUGAGAGGAUGACCAGCCACACUGGAACUGAGACACGGUCCAGACUCCUACGGGAGGCAGCAGUGGGGAAUAUUGCACAAUGGGCGCAAGCCUGAUGCAGCCAUGCCGCGUGUAUGAAGAAGGCCUUCGGGUUGUAAAGUACUUUCAGCGGGGAGGAAGGCGAUAAGGUUAAUAACCUUGUCGAUUGACGUUACCCGCAGAAGAAGCACCGGCUAACUCCGUGCCAGCAGCCGCGGUAAUACGGAGGGUGCAAGCGUUAAUCGGAAUUACUGGGCGUAAAGCGCACGCAGGCGGUCUGUCAAGUCGGAUGUGAAAUCCCCGGGCUCAACCUGGGAACUGCAUUCGAAACUGG